UACGAGGGGAGCCAGCGUUGUUCGGAAUUACUGGGCGUAAAGCGUGCGUAGGCGGCGAUUCAAGUCAGAGGUGAAAGCCUGGAGCUCAACUCCAGAACUGCCUUUGAAACUAGAUCGCUAGAAUCUUGGAGAGGUGAGUGGAAUUCCGAGUGUAGAGGUGAAAUUCGUAGAUAUUCGGAAGAACACCAGUGGCGAAGGCGACUCACUGGACAAGUAUUGACGCUGAGGUACGAAAGCGUGGGGAGCAAACAGG
This 253-nucleotide ribosomal RNA is filed under the name uncultured bacterium. Its description in RNAcentral is "partial 16S ribosomal RNA". It matches the Rfam family "Bacterial small subunit ribosomal RNA", at positions 524 to 776 of the family's 1533-position model. The record is from RNAcentral.